AUGAACGCUGGCGGCGUGCCUAACACAUGCAAGUCGAACGGAGUUUAACGCUGAUGAAGCUUCGGCAGAUUCUUGUAAACUAGUGGCGGACGGGUGAGUAACGCGUGGGUAACCUGCCUCAUACAGGGGGAUAGCAGUUGGAAACGACUGAUAACACCGCAUAAGCGCACGGUAUCGCAUGAUACAGUGUGAAAAUAUUUAUAGGUAUGAGAUGGACCCGCGUCUGAUUAGCUGGUUGGUGAGGUAACGGCCCACCAAGGCGACGAUCAGUAGCCGGCCUGAGAGGGCGGACGGCCACAUUGGGACUGAGACAUGGCCCAAACUCCUACGGGAGGCAGCAGUGGGGGAUAUUGCACAAUGGGCGAAAGCCUGAUGCAGCGACGCCGCGUGAAGUGAAGAAGUAUUUCGGUAUGUAAAGCUCUAUCAGCAGGGAAGAAAGGCCUCGAAAGAGGAGAUGACGGUACCUGAGUAAGAAGCCCCGGCUAACUACGUGCCAGCAGCAGC
RNAcentral lists this ribosomal RNA (504 nucleotides) under uncultured bacterium. RNAcentral describes it as "bacterial SSU rRNA". It matches the Rfam family "Bacterial small subunit ribosomal RNA", at positions 29 to 518 of the family's 1533-position model. The record is from RNAcentral.